This 351-nucleotide unclassified non-coding RNA is filed under the name uncultured fungus. RNAcentral's name for it is "partial contains 5.8S ribosomal RNA and internal transcribed spacer 2". The stretch from base 1 to 133 matches the Rfam family "5.8S ribosomal RNA", at positions 22 to 154 of the family's 154-position model. Lineage: Eukaryota; Fungi. The record is from RNAcentral.
UGGCUCUCGCAUCGAUGAAGAACGCAGCGAAAUGCGAUAAGUAAUGUGAAUUGCAGAAUUCAGUGAAUCAUCGAAUCUUUGAACGCACCUUGCGCUCCCUGGCAUUCCAGGGAGCAUGCCUGUUUGAGUGUCACGUAACCAUCUCUCCCUUGUGAUUUUCUUGAUUGCAAGGAAGAGGACUUGGACUGUGCCGUUGUUGGCUUGUCCCGAAAUGCAUUAGCCUGGUCUGAGCAUGGCCCUCCGGUGUGAUAUACUAUCUACGCCUCUGGUGCAUGUUUACCGGCUUCUAAAUAGCCCCUCCCCGGGCACUUCUAAUGCUCUGGCCUCAAAUCAGGUAGGACUACCCGCUGA